GUGAGGAAUAUUGGACAAUGGGCGCAAGCCUGAUCCAGCCAUGCCGCGUGCAGGAAGACACAUCUAUGGUGUGUAAACUGCUUUUGUACGGGAAGAAACACUCCCUCGUGAGGGAGCUUGACGGUACCGUAAGAAUAAGGAUCGGCUAACUCCGUGCCAGCAGCCGCGGUAAUACGGAGGAUCCAAGCGUUAUCCGGAAUCAUUGGGUUUAAAGGGUCCGUAGGCGGUUUAAUAAGUCAGUGGUGAAAGCCCAUCGCUCAACGAUGGAACGGCCAUUGAUACUGUUAGACUUGAAUUACAAGGAAGUAACUAGAAUAUGUAGUGUAGCGGUGAAAUGCUUAGAUAUUACAUGGAAUACCAAUUGCGAAGGCAGGUUACUACUUGUGGAUUGACGCUGAUGGACGAAAGCGUGGGGAGCGAACAGGAUUAGAAACCCCUGUAGUCC
RNAcentral lists this ribosomal RNA (445 nucleotides) under uncultured bacterium. RNAcentral describes it as "partial 16S ribosomal RNA". It matches the Rfam family "Bacterial small subunit ribosomal RNA", at positions 354 to 796 of the family's 1533-position model. The record is from RNAcentral.